This 253-nucleotide ribosomal RNA is filed under the name uncultured bacterium. Its description in RNAcentral is "partial 16S ribosomal RNA". It matches the Rfam family "Bacterial small subunit ribosomal RNA", at positions 524 to 776 of the family's 1533-position model. The record is from RNAcentral.
GACGUAGGGCGCGAGCGUUGUCCGGAUUUAUUGGGCGUAAAGAGCUCGUAGGCGGCUCAUUGCGUCAACCGUGAAAACCUGCCGCUCAACGGUAGGCUUGCGGUUGAUACGGGUGGGCUGGAGUUCGGUAGGGGAGACUGGAAUUCCUGGUGUAGCGGUGAAAUGCGCAGAUAUCAGGAGGAACACCGGUGGCGAAGGCGGGUCUCUGGGCCGAUACUGACGCUGAGGAGCGAAGGCGUGGGGAGCGAACAGG